Molecule: ribosomal RNA, 253 nt
Filed under: uncultured prokaryote
Description: partial 16S ribosomal RNA
Rfam family: Bacterial small subunit ribosomal RNA
Source: RNAcentral
UACGUAGGGGACGAGCGUUGUCCGGAAUUACUGGGCGUAAAGGGCGCGCAGGCUGUGCUGCAAGUCAGCUGUGAAAUGUCUGGGCUUAACCCGGGCAUGCGGUUGAGACUGCAGUGCUGGAGUGCUGUAGAGGCAAGUGGAAUUCCCAGUGUAGCGGUGAAAUGCGUAGAUAUUGGGAAGAACACCGGUGGCGAAGGCGACUUGCUGGGCAGCAACUGACGCUGAGGCGCGAAAGCCAGGGGAGCAAACGGGA